GCUCCUAUCGUCUAGUUUGGUCUAGGACGGCGGAUUCUCAUUCCGCAAACUCGGGUUCAAAUCCCGAUGGGAGCG
Molecule: transfer RNA, 75 nt
Filed under: Candidatus Wolfebacteria bacterium CG_4_10_14_0_8_um_filter_37_11
Lineage: Bacteria; Candidatus Wolfeibacteriota
Description: tRNA-Glu
Rfam family: tRNA
About the family: Transfer RNA (tRNA) molecules are approximately 80 nucleotides in length. Their secondary structure includes four short double-helical elements and three loops (D, anti-codon, and T loops). Further hydrogen bonds mediate the characteristic L-shaped molecular structure. tRNAs have two regions of fundamental functional importance: the anti-codon, which is responsible for specific mRNA codon recognition, and the 3' end, to which the tRNAs corresponding amino acid is attached (by aminoacyl-tRNA synthetases). tRNAs cope with the degeneracy of the genetic code in two manners: having more than one tRNA (with a specific anti-codon) for a particular amino acid; and 'wobble' base-pairing, i.e. permitting non-standard base-pairing at the 3rd anti-codon position.
Source: RNAcentral